GAUGAACGCUGGCGGCGUGCCUAAUACAUGCAAGUCGAGCGAAGCGGCGGACGGGUGAGUAAUGUAUAGCUAAUCUGCCCUACACUAGAGGACAACAGUUGGAAACGGCUGCUAAUACUCUAUAGUGUAGGAUGAGGCUAUAUUGUAUCAGCUAGUUGGUGAGGUAAUGGCUCACCAAGGCUAUGACGCAUAACUGGUCUGAGAGGAUGAUCAGUCACACUGGAACUGAGACACGGUCCAGACUCCUACGGGAGGCAGCAGUAGGGAAUAUUGCUCAAUGGGGGAAACCCUGAAGCAGCAACGCCGCGUGGAGGAUGACACUUUUCGGAGCGUAAACUCCUUUUGUUAGGGAAGCGGUACCUAACGAAUAAGCACCGGCUAACUCCGUGCCAGCAGCCGCGGUAAUUC
This 408-nucleotide ribosomal RNA is filed under the name uncultured bacterium. RNAcentral describes it as "partial 16S ribosomal RNA". It matches the Rfam family "Bacterial small subunit ribosomal RNA", at positions 28 to 526 of the family's 1533-position model. The record is from RNAcentral.